Leptonychotes weddellii (Weddell seal) is the source of this 273-nucleotide non-coding RNA. The record is from RefSeq and is a predicted model, not a curated record. Lineage: Eukaryota; Metazoa; Chordata; Mammalia; Carnivora; Phocidae.
GCAAUUUGGUAAAAUCUUAGAUGUUGAAAUUAUUUUUAAUGAGCGGGGCUCAAAGGGAUUUGGUUUCGUAACUUUCGAAAAUAGUGCCGAUGCGGACAGGGCGAGGGAGAAAUUACACGGCACCGUGGUAGAGGGCCGUAAAAUCGAGGUAAAUAAUGCCACAGCACGUGUAAUGACAAAUAAAAAGACUGUCAACCCUUAUACAAACGGUAAGUAGAGAUCGGCCUCACAAGAAGUCAUCCCUACCUCUGAAUCUAUUAAGUAAUUUAACCA